This is a long non-coding RNA of Nymphaea colorata (pocket water lily), 1803 nucleotides long. RefSeq lists it as uncharacterized. The transcript is spliced from 5 exons. The record is from RefSeq and is a predicted model, not a curated record. NCBI's taxonomy places the organism in Eukaryota, Viridiplantae, Streptophyta, Magnoliopsida, Nymphaeales, Nymphaeaceae.
UUACGUCCAUAUCUGUUUCAAUAACGUACGUCGCCGCGCGUGGCCCGCAGAAAAAGGAUCACGGAAGGUACGUUCAAGCUAUUACUCAUAAAAUGUCUUCAUCAUGGCUGUCGAGCUGCUGCCAAUUGCUGAAAGAUAACAAAAACACUUAGAUAUGGACUUCACGGUUGCCAAGUAGCUCAACGAUUAUCCUGUCCACGGUACAAAAACACAAACUGUGGUUUUUUUUUAAAUCUACAACUUGGGUACUUGGGUGAUUGAAGCAAAGGAACUGGCCGCUGUGAAUAUGGAAUUGGUCACGAUCUCAUCGAUAUCCUUCUCAGUAAGCACCAGGUGACUACGCACGAUUGCAAGAAAUGGGGAGCUUGCAUCAUUCAUCAAGAGACAGACCGGCGAUGGCAGCCGAAAAAUUCUUCCCGGCAACAAUGGGAUGCAUCAAAUUAGUUAACCGGUUCAGAAAACAUGAUCGGAGAUAAGCCAAUGUUGUAAAAGUCAUCUUGAAUAGGCUAACUGGAGUCGAAUGUGUGGCAGCCAUCAAUCGAAUUCAUUUGACGGUUUAUAGAACAAUCCGCAUAGCUCUCAUAUUCACGAUUCAACUCCGGCGCGUUCUGAUUCAACCAUCUCCUGCUUUUGAUUCGGUAAAUUGAGUCCAGGAUUCUGAAUCUUGAAAGCGGAUACAAUGAUGGGUUGAGUCUGACUCAACCGUAUCCGACCCGCUUGCAGGACCCGAUCGAGAGUCCUUCGAUGCCGAAAGCCCUAACGCCUAAGAGUACGAGAGGCGGGUGGCCGUAUCUUCCCUCCUUCUCCGCGGCAGCGGUAGCUGUCGUCGUCUAUCUCCGAUGACCGUUUGUGCUCAUAAAUCAGUUGAUUUCGGUACCAUCAUUUUGUCAGCUCAGACCUGAUCAACAUGUACACGCAAGGAAGAAAAUCCAAAAGGGCAAGGACACAGACAUUACUGGUUUUGAGAAACAGUUGCCAGCUUAAAAACUGAGGAAGCAUGUUGACUUUCUCCAAGGUUUUGCUGUUUUAGGCUGUCAUUCUAAUGCAAGCAUAAGGAUUCUGAGGCUACCUACGCAAAGGUCAGCAGUUGUUCCAGCCUUGCAGCCAAACUCUGACAUCAAUACGUGAGCCUAUCUUGGAGGAUGUAGUAUAUCCUACAGAGAUUGGAGGAAGGAGAAUAGGAUUGACUUGAUGGUUUAAAAAUAAUGAAGAUAUGUGGAGGUCAGGUGGACGAAGCUUCUCAGAUGCUAUAGUAGGACCAUCCAUCACAAAGGAUAGGAUAUGUGGUUUUGUUUGAUGGAACGUGGGCAUAAUAUUGUCAUUUGAUUUUUUCAUUGUAAACUGAAUUGCAGCUGAUACAAAACUGUGACAUGGAAUUUCGGCUGCCCGAUAUUAGAAGAGGAAUCUUCCAAGGUGAAGACAAAGGCGGCGAAUGGUGGACGCAGACAUGGCAGUGAUGAUAGUAUUAUGGUGGAAAUUAGGAAAAUAUUGCAAGAAGAUACUUUUCUACAUGUUCAUAUGAAGGGAAAAUGCAAGGGGCAUUCCCUAUGAAUUUUGCUACCUGCAUGAUCUAGAAAAGUUUAUACUUGUGUCAGUGUAUGAAUGUUUAUUAAUUUAGAGAGACUUUCGAAUUUUUAAAUCAAAUUUAGAAAAAGGCUUUGGAGUUUUUAAAUCUGUCAACAUGUAUCGAGGUUCCUGUACAUGCUUUCUCUGUACCUUAGGUUGCCCUUUCUGUUCAUUUAUGAUUAAGAAUGAUGUAGCAGAUCAAUGAGAAUGUAUGUUCAUGAGGAUUACUUUUUUCUA